UACAGAGGGUACAAGCGUUAAUCGGAUUUACUGGGCGUAAAGCGUGCGCAGGCGGUUAUAUAAGACAGAUGUGAAAUCCCCGGGCUCAACCUGGGAACUGCAUUUGUGACUGUAUAGCUAGAGUACGGUAGAGGGGGAUGGAAUUCCGCGUGUAGCAGUGAAAUGCGUAGAUAUGCGGAGGAACACCGAUGGCGAAGGCAAUCCCCUGGACCUGUACUGACGCUCAUGCACGAAAGCGUGGGGAGCAAACAGG
This 253-nucleotide ribosomal RNA is filed under the name uncultured bacterium. RNAcentral's name for it is "partial 16S ribosomal RNA". It matches the Rfam family "Bacterial small subunit ribosomal RNA", at positions 524 to 776 of the family's 1533-position model. The record is from RNAcentral.